GCAAGAAUAGCCCAGGAAUAAGAGUCUAUAGGGUGGACCAUCAACUGGGCAGUAAGUGAGAAGAAGAGGAAGAUUGCAGUAUCAGAAAAAACAUCAGUGAAAACUCUAAAGAAUGAGCAAAUACAAAGGGCUUAUAAAAGGACUAGGAUUUGGGCAUUGGCCACACUGUGGCAUCCUAGGUCAGCUGUGAGGAUCAAAAGGGAGCUGAAACUCCUACUACUAACAGAGGUGUGCUGGACAGAAGGUGAGGGAACUGAAGCACAAAGAGGUCAACCAAUGUGCCCAAGGACAUGUGAUUGAGUACAAAGCAAGGAGGUUCUGAAGAUAACCAGUCUGGGUUUCGAAUUCUAGCACACUUGGCCACUGAACUCCUGUGACCUAAAAACUAAACACCAGCUUAUUUAUACAUUCCAUGUUAAAAUGUUCUUGAUCUGCUAAAAUGUCCACAGUUACUCAAUCAUUCCUUUUUAUUUGGGGCCUGUGUAGGUCUAAGGAUAUAGACAAUGUCUCCUGGUAUGUCUUAGCCCCGGAGACUUCUCUUUGAUUUUCAACUAACAUGCUGGUGAAAAAAUGUCUACUGAAUAGAAAAGAGUUCGACAAGAUCAGUUUUUAAUCCUAUUCUCAUAACUGUUAAGUGUCUGCCUUUUCAGAAGUGAUAACCAACUGAGCUUUCCCCAUCUGCAAAAUAUGAACAAUAAUUCACAUGCUUCAGUUCCCUUAUGAGCUUUUAACAAAUAAAGCACAGAAUACGAUGACA
Molecule: long non-coding RNA, 757 nt
Organism: Suricata suricatta (meerkat)
Lineage: Eukaryota; Metazoa; Chordata; Mammalia; Carnivora; Herpestidae
Exons: 4
Source: RefSeq, a predicted model, not a curated record